UGGGGAAUUUUGGACAAUGGGCGCAAGCCUGAUCCAGCCAUGCCGCGUGCAGGAUGAAGGCCCUCGGGUUGUAAACUGCUUUUGUACGGAACGAAAAGCCUCUUUUUAAUAAAGAGCGGUGAUGACGGUACCGUAAGAAUAAGCACCGGUUAACUACGUGCCAGCAGCCGCGGCAAUACGUAGGGUGCGAGCGUUAAUCGGAAUUACUGGGCGUAAAGCGUGCGCAGGCGGUCUUGCAAGACAGUGGUGAAAUCCCCGGGCUCAACCUGGGAACUGCCAUUGUGACUGCAAAGCUGGAGUACGGCAGAGGGGGAUGGAAUUCCGCGUGUAGCAGUGAAAUGCGUAGAGCUGUGGAGGAACACCGAUGGCGAAGGCAGCCCCCUGGGCCUGUACUGACGCUCAUGCACGAAAGCGUGG
RNAcentral lists this ribosomal RNA (417 nucleotides) under uncultured bacterium. Its description in RNAcentral is "bacterial SSU rRNA". It matches the Rfam family "Bacterial small subunit ribosomal RNA", at positions 355 to 764 of the family's 1533-position model. The record is from RNAcentral.